This 364-nucleotide RNase P RNA is filed under the name Sphondylothamnion multifidum. Its description in RNAcentral is "ribonuclease P RNA". The stretch from base 2 to 193 matches the Rfam family "Bacterial RNase P class A", at positions 44 to 222 of the family's 367-position model. From Rfam's summary of the family: Ribonuclease P (RNase P) is a ubiquitous endoribonuclease, found in archaea, bacteria and eukarya as well as chloroplasts and mitochondria. Its best characterised activity is the generation of mature 5'-ends of tRNAs by cleaving the 5'-leader elements of precursor-tRNAs. Lineage: Eukaryota; Rhodophyta; Florideophyceae; Ceramiales; Ceramiaceae. The record is from RNAcentral.
GAGGAAAGUCCGGGCUCUAUUUAGAGAAAUAUAGCUGUAUGAAAAACAGUGUAGGUAACUACGAGGAAAGUGCCACAGAAAUAAACCGCUUAUGAUUUGUUUUUAAGAUAAUCAUUAGUAAGGGUGCAAUGGUGCGGUAAGAGCGUACCAGGAAUAUUAUUAAAAUAUUUGCUAGGUAAACCCCAUAAAAGAGCAAAGUUUCUAGUUGAGAACAUUAUAUUUUCUCUAUUUAAUAUUCUGUUUCUUGUAAGACUAGUUAGUUAAUACUGCAUUAUGUAGAAUUUUAGUCUACUUUAGAUUAAUAAUUACCCUUUUUGUAUAUUUUAUUUUAUAUUUGUACAAUUAAGAACAAAACUCGGCUUAU